GGGCUGCUAGCUCAAUGGCAGAGCAGGGGACUUUUAAUCCCUUGGUUCGGGGUUCGAGUCCCCGGCGGCCCA
RNAcentral lists this transfer RNA (72 nucleotides) under Actinoplanes sp. N902-109. RNAcentral's name for it is "tRNA-Lys (TTT) (tRNA-Lys-TTT-1-1)". It matches the Rfam family "tRNA". Rfam says of the family: Transfer RNA (tRNA) molecules are approximately 80 nucleotides in length. The record is from Rfam by way of RNAcentral. Lineage: Bacteria; Bacillati; Actinomycetota; Actinomycetes; Micromonosporales; Micromonosporaceae.